AGAUGUGUAGUUUAAUGGUAAAACAACAGUCUCCAAAACUGUAAGAUGUGGGUUCGAGUCCUACUGCGUCUG
Molecule: transfer RNA, 72 nt
Filed under: Fusicatenibacter saccharivorans
Lineage: Bacteria; Bacillati; Bacillota; Clostridia; Lachnospirales; Lachnospiraceae
Also listed under: 3 other names
Description: tRNA-Trp
Rfam family: tRNA
About the family: Transfer RNA (tRNA) molecules are approximately 80 nucleotides in length.
Source: RNAcentral